This 510-nucleotide ribosomal RNA is filed under the name bacterium 4878K2-B22. RNAcentral's name for it is "bacterial SSU rRNA". It matches the Rfam family "Bacterial small subunit ribosomal RNA", at positions 74 to 576 of the family's 1533-position model. The record is from RNAcentral. RNAcentral also lists the same sequence under 2 other names.
GAUAGCUUGCUAUCAAUGCUGACGAGCGGCGGACGGGUGAGUAAUGCCUGGGAAUAUGCCCUGAUGUGGGGGAUAACUAUUGGAAACGAUAGCUAAUACCGCAUAAUCUCUUCGGAGCAAAGAGGGGGACCUUCGGGCCUCUCGCGUCAGGAUUAGCCCAGGUGGGAUUAGCUUGUUGGUGGGGUAAUGGCUCACCAAGGCAACGAUCCCUAGCUGGUCUGAGAGGAUGAUCAGCCACACUGGAACUGAGACACGGUCCAGACUCCUACGGGAGGCAGCAGUGGGGAAUAUUGCACAAUGGGGGAAACCCUGAUGCAGCCAUGCCGCGUGUAUGAAGAAGGCCUUCGGGUUGUAAAGUACUUUCAGUUGUGAGGAAGGCGUUGAUGUUAAUAGCUUCAGCGUUUGACGUUAGCAACAGAAGAAGCACCGGCUAACUCCGUGCCAGCAGCCGCGGUAAUACGGAGGGUGCGAGCGUUAAUCGGAAUUACUGGGCGUAAAGCGCAUGCAGGU